UACGGGGGGGGCAAGCGUUGUUCGGAAUUACUGGGCGUAAAGGGCUCGUAGGCGGCCAACUAAGUCGGACGUGAAAUCCCUCGGCUUAACCGGGGAACUGCGUCCGAUACUGGAUGGCUUGAGUUCGGGAGAGGGAUGCGGAAUUCCAGGUGUAGCGGUGAAAUGCGUAGAUAUCUGGAGGAGCACCGGUGGCGAAGGCGGCAUCCUGGACCGACACUGACGCUGAGGAGCGAAAGCUAGGGGAGCAAACAGG
Molecule: ribosomal RNA, 253 nt
Filed under: uncultured bacterium
Lineage: Bacteria
Description: partial 16S ribosomal RNA
Rfam family: Bacterial small subunit ribosomal RNA
Source: RNAcentral